This 73-nucleotide transfer RNA is filed under the name Streptosporangium subroseum. It matches the Rfam family "tRNA". Rfam says of the family: Transfer RNA (tRNA) molecules are approximately 80 nucleotides in length. Their secondary structure includes four short double-helical elements and three loops (D, anti-codon, and T loops). Lineage: Bacteria; Bacillati; Actinomycetota; Actinomycetes; Streptosporangiales; Streptosporangiaceae. The record is from Rfam by way of RNAcentral.
GUGGGUGUAGCUCAGCUGGUAGAGCGCUAGGUUGUGGUCCUAGAUGUCGCGGGUUCAAGUCCCGUCACUCACC